RNAcentral lists this ribosomal RNA (440 nucleotides) under uncultured bacterium. RNAcentral describes it as "partial 16S ribosomal RNA". It matches the Rfam family "Bacterial small subunit ribosomal RNA", at positions 338 to 795 of the family's 1533-position model. The record is from RNAcentral.
CCUACGGGAGGCUGCAGUGGGGAAUAUUGCACAAUGGGGGAAACCCUGAUGCAGCGACGCCGCGUGAGUGAAGAAGUAUCUCGGUAUGUAAAGCUCUAUCAGCAGGGAAGUAAAUGACGGUACCUGAUUAAGAAGCUCCGGCCAACUACGUGCCAGCAGCCGUGGCAAUACGUAGGGGGCAAGCGUUAUCCGGAUUUACUGGGCGUAAAGGGAGUGUAGACGGCAGCACAAGUCAGGAGUGAAAUGCCGGGGCUUAACCCCGGAACUGCUAUGGAUACUGUGCAGCUAGAGUACAGGAGAGGUAAGUGGAAUUCCUGGUGUAGCGGUGAAAUGCGUAGAUAUUAGGAGGAACACCGAUGGCGAAGGCAGCUUACUGGACUGUAACUGACGUUGAGGCUCGAAAGCGUGGGGAGCAAACAGGAUUAGAUACCCCGGUAGUC